GGUAUUUCUUUAAAUUAUUUUUGGGGCACAUUUAGGAGGGGACUCGGCGAGUUGGUGCACGACUCGCCGAGUAGGGCCAUGGUCUUGGUCGCAGACGCGCGACUGGACUCGACGAGUCCAAUAAGGGACUCGGCGAGUCGACGCUGUUCAGCUGAACCCUAGCCGUUUCGAUUCUGAACCGUAUAUAAUGAUAUUAUGGCCGUCAUGUCGGGUCUUUUGGCCGAUUGAAGAUCCCCUGGGAGUGUGUGAGCAUCUGAAGCAAGAGAGAGGACUUGAGAAGGCUUGAAGAGAUUGUUAGACAAGGAGGAGCAAGGUGGUGAUCAAAGGAAUCGAGUACUGGAGGUUUGGAGACACAGGAAACACGUUUCCAGGGAACCUGCGGACUAGCGGAUUGUGUGCAAGUAGCUCGAAGAGGUUAUAGCCUGCGUACUACGAGAGACAUCAUGGUUAUCACACGCAAUGGGGCGAGUUCGAGCGGUGCGAGUGACGAGGAGAUUCGUCAGAUUAUUCAGGAAGAGGUAGCUGCGGCGGUCCGGGCUGAGAUCCCGGAGAUGUUUGGGUCUAUUAAGACCACGUUGAUGGAGGAGUUUGAGGAGCGGUGCGCCGCAAUUUCUGAAGCUGCAGUUGCUGCCGCUACCGCAGCGGUGGCUGCUGCCAGGCCGCAAGGGGGUGAUUCAUUACCAUUCAGGGAAUUCAGCAACACGAAACCCCCUGAAUUUGAUGGGACGCAGGAUCCGAUUGCAGCCAUGAGGUGGAUCGCCGACAUCGAGGGGUGCUUCUAUACUUGCUCAUGCCCGGAACACUUGAGGGUACGGUUCGCCUUGAACCAGCUCCGUCUGGGAGCGAAGGAUUGG
Molecule: long non-coding RNA, 854 nt
Organism: Lactuca sativa (garden lettuce)
Lineage: Eukaryota; Viridiplantae; Streptophyta; Magnoliopsida; Asterales; Asteraceae
Source: RefSeq, a predicted model, not a curated record